This 726-nucleotide ribosomal RNA is filed under the name Staphylococcus aureus. Its description in RNAcentral is "partial 23S ribosomal RNA". It matches the Rfam family "Bacterial large subunit ribosomal RNA", at positions 426 to 1154 of the family's 2925-position model. Lineage: Bacteria; Bacillati; Bacillota; Bacilli; Caryophanales; Staphylococcaceae. The record is from RNAcentral.
GUGAAAUUCCGUCGGAAUCUGGGAGGACCAUCUCCUAAGGCUAAAUACUCUCUAGUGACCGAUAGUGAACCAGUACCGUGAGGGAAAGGUGAAAAGCACCCCGGAAGGGGAGUGAAAUAGAACCUGAAACCGUGUGCUUACAAGUAGUCAGAGCCCGUUAAUGGGUGAUGGCGUGCCUUUUGUAGAAUGAACCGGCGAGUUACGAUUUGAUGCAAGGUUAAGCAGUAAAUGUGGAGCCGUAGCGAAAGCGAGUCUGAAUAGGGCGUUUAGUAUUUGGUCGUAGACCCGAAACCAGGUGAUCUACCCUUGGUCAGGUUGAAGUUCAGGUAACACUGAAUGGAGGACCGAACCGACUUACGUUGAAAAGUGAGCGGAUGAACUGAGGGUAGCGGAGAAAUUCCAAUCGAACCUGGAGAUAGCUGGUUCUCUCCGAAAUAGCUUUAGGGCUAGCCUCAAGUGAUGAUUAUUGGAGGUAGAGCACUGUUUGGACGAGGGGCCCCUCUCGGGUUACCGAAUUCAGACAAACUCCGAAUGCCAAUUAAUUUAACUUGGGAGUCAGAACAUGGGUGAUAAGGUCCAUGUUCGAAAGGGAAACAGCCCAGACCACCAGCUAAGGUCCCAAAAUAUAUGUUAAGUGGAAAAGGAUGUGGCGUUGCCCAGACAACUAGGAUGUUGGCUUAGAAGCAGCCAUCAUUUAAAGAGUGCGUAAUAGCUCACUAGUCGAGU